RNAcentral lists this long non-coding RNA (552 nucleotides) under Homo sapiens (human). RNAcentral describes it as "non-protein coding lnc-GHRL-4:1". The record is from RNAcentral. Lineage: Eukaryota; Metazoa; Chordata; Mammalia; Primates; Hominidae.
AUUUCUGCGGCGGGAUGAGCCCCAGGAUAACCUCCGCGAGCAAGCCACAUCGUCCUCCUUCUGGGCUUUCAGGCGCUUGGGGCUGCUGGGCCCUCCAGAACGCGACGCAGACCUCUGAGCUGGCCGGCUGGAGGGGGCCACAUCACAGGGCUCCCGGAGGCAGCUGCGCUUGCGGGGACACCCUUCCGACGUGCUGCUCCAGUUGUGCUUGACCUUGCCCCGCUCGGACGCCAUGGGCACCUGCAAGUUCUCAAGGUUUCAGAGAUGCCAAACCGUGUUGGAGAAGUCAAAGCGAUCCAAAAUUGACUAAAGGCUGCCGUCGGUUUCCAAGCCCACAACGUGCUUCUGAGAUCAGGAAGCCUUCACUUUGCCCAGCGCUACUUCGGAGAUGCCUAAGCGCUUCCGGGGCUACGAAGCGCUUUGAUCAGUUUGCAAUAUAAAGCCCUUUAGAACUGUCAAGCGCUUCAGAAGACCACAUGGCGCUUCAAGAUCCACACAUGGCUGCCGGAUCCGCGGCCCCGGGGCCGGGCGCUUAGCCCGUAGGCCAGGGCC